AAGUGUAUGUGUUAGGUUAGUCGGAUGAACUCUAAGUAUAUUUAUUAGAGUCUGAACAAAUUUGAUAUAUGUUUCUGACUGAAUUCUAAGUGUAUAGUUUAGAACUCUGUCGAUUUGGAGAUGUUCUGGACUGGGUUUAGUUUAACGACUUUACGGUCGUUUGGAUUUGAUUGUUUAGUUUAACGACUUCACGGUAGUUUGAAUUUGGGUUUAGUUUAGCAACUUUACGGUCGUUUGAUUUUAGGUUUAAUUUAACGACUUUACGGUCGUUUGAUUUUGGGUUUAGUUUAACGACUUUACGGUCAUUUGGAUUUGAUUGUUUAGUUUAACGACUUUACGGUCGUUUGAUUUGACGGAUUAGUUUAGCGUCUUUGCGGUCAUUUGAUUUGAUUGUUUAGUUUAACGACUUUGCGGUCGUAGGUUUUAUUUGUGGACUUUGGGGUUUUGGCAUUUUAUUUGU
This 460-nucleotide long non-coding RNA is filed under the name Ananas comosus (pineapple). Its description in RNAcentral is "long non-coding RNA (ACOM_LNC022282)". Lineage: Eukaryota; Viridiplantae; Streptophyta; Magnoliopsida; Poales; Bromeliaceae. The record is from RNAcentral.